UACGGGGGGGCAAGCGUUGUUCGGAAUUACUGGGCGUAAAGGGUGCGUAGGCGGUUCGCUAAGUUGGAUGUGAAAACUCUGGGCUUAACCCAGAGCCUGCAUUCAAAACUGACGGGCUAGAGUUCUGGAGGGGGUAGCGGAAUUCCUGGUGUAGCGGUGAAAUGCGUAGAUAUCAGGAGGAACACCGGUGGUGUAGACGGCUAUCUGGACCGUAACUGACGCUGAGGCACGAAAGCGUGGGUAGCAAACAGG
This 252-nucleotide ribosomal RNA is filed under the name uncultured bacterium. RNAcentral's name for it is "partial 16S ribosomal RNA". It matches the Rfam family "Bacterial small subunit ribosomal RNA", at positions 524 to 776 of the family's 1533-position model. The record is from RNAcentral.